AAUCCUUGUCCUGGACAUUUUUGAAUCAAUAUUUUAAAGCAUUCGCAAGCAUCAUAAAAAUUUUCUCCCUCCAUCUGUCUAAAGAUAGCAAUCUCUCUUCUUAGGUA
Gossypium arboreum is the source of this 107-nucleotide small nucleolar RNA. It matches the Rfam family "Plant small nucleolar RNA R71". From Rfam's summary of the family: R71 is a member of the C/D box family of snoRNAs containing the C (UGAUGA) and D (CUGA) box motifs. Multiple nearly identical copies of this snoRNA have been identified in Arabidopsis, and it is thought to function as a 2'-O-ribose methylation guide for 18S ribosomal RNA. NCBI's taxonomy places the organism in Eukaryota, Viridiplantae, Streptophyta, Magnoliopsida, Malvales, Malvaceae. The record is from Rfam.